RNAcentral lists this ribosomal RNA (611 nucleotides) under Hepatozoon sp. JPM-2014. Its description in RNAcentral is "bacterial SSU rRNA". It matches the Rfam family "Eukaryotic small subunit ribosomal RNA", at positions 311 to 915 of the family's 1831-position model. Lineage: Eukaryota; Apicomplexa; Hepatozoidae. The record is from RNAcentral.
CCUAUCAGCUUUCGACGGUAUGGUAUUGGCUUACCGUGGCAGUGACGGUUAACGGGGGAUUAGGGUUCGAUUCCGGAGAGGGAGCCUGAGAAACGGCUACCACAUCUAAGGAAGGCAGCAGGCGCGCAAAUUACCCAAUUCUAACAGUUUGAGAGAGGUAGUAACAAGAAAUAACAAUACAAGGCAGUUAAAAUGCUUUGUAAUUGGAAUGAUAGAAAUUUAAACCCUUUUUAAAGUAUCAAUUGGAGGGCAAGUCUGGUGCCAGCAGCCGCGGUAAUUCCAGCUCCAAUAGCGUAUAUUAAAAUUGUUGCAGUUAAAAAGCUCGUAGUUGAAGUUCUGCUGAAAGUAACCGGUCUGCUUUUAAUAAAAGUGGUAUCUUGGUAUGUAUUUAGCAAUGAUGUCCUUUGAAGUGUUUUUUACUUUAUUGUAAUAAAGCAUAUUCAGGACUUUUACUUUGAGAAAAUUAGAGUGUUUCUAGCAGGCUAACGCUUUGAAUACUGCAGCAUGGAAUAAUAAGAUAGGAUUUUAGUUCUACAUUAUUGGUUUUAAGAGCUAAAUUAAUGAUUGAUAGGGACAGUUGGGGGCAUUUGUAUUUAACUGUCAGAGGUGAA